CGACGUUAAGCAAAUCCCAGAAAUAACGUCCCAGUUCGGAUUGUAGUCUGCAACCCGACUACAUGAAGCUGGAAUCGCUAGUAAUCGCGGAUCAGAAUGCCGCGGUGAAUACGUUCCCGGGUCUUGUACACACCGCCCGUCACACCAUGGGAGUCGGAAAUGCCCGAAGUCAGUGACCUAACCGAAAGGAAGGAGCUGCCGAAGGUGGAGCCGGUAACUGGGGUGAAGUCGUAACAAGGUACC
This 243-nucleotide ribosomal RNA is filed under the name uncultured bacterium. RNAcentral describes it as "partial 16S ribosomal RNA". It matches the Rfam family "Bacterial small subunit ribosomal RNA", at positions 1258 to 1500 of the family's 1533-position model. The record is from RNAcentral.